RNAcentral lists this ribosomal RNA (468 nucleotides) under uncultured bacterium. RNAcentral's name for it is "partial 16S ribosomal RNA". It matches the Rfam family "Bacterial small subunit ribosomal RNA", at positions 28 to 507 of the family's 1533-position model. The record is from RNAcentral.
GACGAACGCUGGCGGCGUGCUUAACACAUGCAAGUCGAACGGAAAGGCCCUGCUUUUGUGGGGUGCUCGAGUGACGAACGGGUGAGUAACACGUGAGUACCCUGUCCUUGACUUUGGGAUAACUUCAGGAAACUGAGGCUAAUACCGGAUAGGAGCUACUGCUGCAUGGUGGGGGUUGGAAAGUUUCGGUUGUUGGGGGUGGACUCGCGGCUUAUCAGCUUGUUGGUUGGGUAGUGGCUUAGCAAGGCUUUGACGGGUAGCCGGCCUGAUAGGGUGAGCGGCCACAUUGGGCCUGAGAUACGGCACAGACUCCUACGCGACGCAGCAGUGGGGUAUAUUGCACUAUGGGCGGAGCCCUGGUGCAGCAACGCCGCGUGCGGUAUGUCGUCCUUCGGUUUGUAUUCCGAUUUCGCCUUUGACGAAGCGUUAGUGACGGUACUGGGUAAAGAAGCACCGGCUAACUACGUG